UCUUCAUUUUUCGUUGUCCAGUGGUUCAGUAGUCCGCAACCCUUUACCCUCAACAAAUCGAUACGCAUGUAUGUGUCCGCUCCGCUCCCGUUGUGUCGUAGUCGUGCGUCUUCCAGAGAAAAGAAAGGCGGUUGUUGUAUUGGUUUGGCUCUCGGAGCCCGGGAAAACGUCCACGACAACCGACGAAAUAGCGCGGCAUCUUGA
Molecule: non-coding RNA, 204 nt
Organism: Caenorhabditis elegans
Lineage: Eukaryota; Metazoa; Nematoda; Chromadorea; Rhabditida; Rhabditidae
Source: Ensembl